AUACGGAGGAUGCGAGCGUUAUCCGGAUUUAUUGGGUUUAAAGGGAGCGUAGGUGGGAUAUUAAGUCAGCUGUGAAAGUUUGGGGCUCAACCUUAAAAUUGCAGUUGAUACUGGUUUCCUUGAGUACGGUAUAGGUGGGCGGAAUUCGUGGUGUAGCGGUGAAAUGCUUAGAUAUCACGAAGAACUCCGAUCGCGAAGGCAGCUCACCGGGCCGGAACUGACACUGAUGCUCGAAAGUGCGGGUAUCAAACAGGAUUAGAUACCCUGGUAGUCCGCACAGUAAACGAUGAAUACUCGCUGUUUGCGAUACACUGUAAGCGGCCAAGCGAAAGCGUUAAGUAUUCCACCUGGGGAGUACGCCGGCAACGGUGAAACUCAAAGGAAUUGACGGG
Molecule: ribosomal RNA, 392 nt
Filed under: uncultured bacterium
Lineage: Bacteria
Description: partial 16S ribosomal RNA
Rfam family: Bacterial small subunit ribosomal RNA
Source: RNAcentral